ACCUUGUGGACAUAGCUUAGUUGGUUAGAGAAUAGUGCUGACAACGCCAAGGUUGCUGGUUCGAUUCCCAUAUGGGACA
This is a non-coding RNA of Podarcis lilfordi (Lilford's wall lizard), 79 nucleotides long. NCBI's taxonomy places the organism in Eukaryota, Metazoa, Chordata, Lepidosauria, Squamata, Lacertidae. The record is from the annotation of a GenBank genome assembly.